This 1187-nucleotide long non-coding RNA is filed under the name Callithrix jacchus (white-tufted-ear marmoset). RNAcentral describes it as "lncRNA (ENSCJAG00000061495.2)". Lineage: Eukaryota; Metazoa; Chordata; Mammalia; Primates; Cebidae. The record is from RNAcentral.
GCUUGUCUUGCUUGCUUAAGUCAGUUCUUUUUAAAUAAUCAGUGUUCAUUCAUUGUUUUCCUCUCAUGAUGUAACCUUAUUUUGUGUAAACAUAUUUCCCCGUGGCCCUAGCAGUGGUAACAGGCCCUUUGCUACUACCAGGAGGAUAGUAAUAUCCUUUGGUAUUUCAAAGCAUAUUUCAAUAGAUUUCCUGCACCCUAAAAAUAGUUUCAUAAAUAGCUCCUCUGUGGCCUGUAGGGAGACAACAUUAAGGUUAGUGUUCCGUAGAAAGUCCCGCCACCCUCCCCCCAGGCUUCCUGACGUCAGGAGGAAAACCCUCAGGCCCUGCUCUGUUCUGCCCGACAACAACCAGAAGCCAAUCAUCGCAGCAGAAAAGCCCACCAAGCCCCGGCCUAUCCUGAACCGACACAUAACCCUCUGAGCUACCUCAGCAGUCUGCCCAGAGACGGACAGCCUAUCCUAAGCUGCUACGACACUCCGCCAGCCCUGUGUCCAUGCCCCGUCCACCCCCCUAUAAAAACCCUCCUACCCCAGCUAUGCAGUCGCAGCCAGCCCAGAUCUCCUUCCUUUCCUGGCCUGCCCGCUGGUCCCAAUAAACCUGAACUCAGCUUCCAACUCUCGAGCUGUUACUUGGGAUCGGGUACAAGACAGGGGUCUACAAGGGGGUCGUACAUUUGGUGCCGAAACCCGGGAGCGAGGGUCACUAGCCCCCCUAGCGACCCCCUCCCUCCAGCGACCUCUCCAGCCCUCCUCCAAUUCGGCCUCAGCACUCCGGACCAGCAGCGGAGUGUCUGCAUUAGAAACCUCCACAUGAAGGACGUUCCUCAACACCAUGUGACAAAUUCUAGAGGAAUGAUUUUCUGGAAAUUUCAGCAGUGCAUCUCCACUGUGAUUGCUCUGUCAUUCAGUAAGCAAUAGCCUUGCCAUCUCCAAGAUGUAUCUUCAGUCUUAUAUCUUUGAACUGCAGGCAAAGACUCUUCUAUAGCUCAAUCCUAUGGGGAAUGAUUACUCUUACAUCUGUUACUUCAAUAAUUUUUGGAGGUAUGCUUACUUCUUACUAACCAAUUUAUCAUAACUUCAACUCCUGUUGUAGUUAACAGAUUUUUACAAUAAACUGUUUAAACACUGUGGUUACCAUCUCUGAAUUGGUCAUAGAUGUAUAUAUAUAAUAACUUACAUUGAUUGAU